This 423-nucleotide ribosomal RNA is filed under the name uncultured Acetivibrio sp. RNAcentral describes it as "bacterial SSU rRNA". It matches the Rfam family "Bacterial small subunit ribosomal RNA", at positions 355 to 794 of the family's 1533-position model. The record is from RNAcentral. Lineage: Bacteria; Bacillati; Bacillota; Clostridia; Acetivibrionales; Acetivibrionaceae.
UCGGGAAUAUUGCGCAAUGGAGGAAACUCUGACGCAGUGACGCCGCGUAUAGGAAGAAGGUUUUCGGAUUGUAAACUAUUGUCGAUAGGGAAGAUAAAAGACAGUACCUAUCAAGAAAGCUCCGGCUAACUACGUGCCAGCAGCCGCGGUAAUACGUAGGGAGCAAGCGUUAUCCGGAAUUAUUGGGUGUAAAGGGUGCGUAGACGGGAUAGCAAGUUAGUUGUGAAAUACCUCGGCUUAACUGGGGAACUGCAACUAAAACUAUUAUUCUUGAGUGCAGGAGAGGAAAGUGGAAUUCCUAGUGUAGCGGUGAAAUGCGUAGAUAUUAGGAAGAACAUCGGUGGCGAAGGCGACUUUCUGGACUGUAACUGACGUUGAGGCACGAAAGUGUGGGGAGCAAACAGGAUUAGAUACCCUGGUAGU